GGCUUUAUAUUCAAUAAUGAUAUUAAAUUGCAAAUUUAAAGGUGUUAAAAAACUAAAGCUU
RNAcentral lists this transfer RNA (61 nucleotides) under Culicoides arakawae. Its description in RNAcentral is "tRNA-Cys". The record is from RNAcentral. Lineage: Eukaryota; Metazoa; Arthropoda; Insecta; Diptera; Ceratopogonidae.